GGAGGAUCCGAGCGUUAUCCGGAUUUAUUGGGUUUAAAGGGUGCGUAGGCGGCCUAUUAAGUCAGGGGUGAAAUACGGUGGCUCAACCAUCGCAGUGCCUUUGAUACUGAUGGGCUUGAAUCCAUUUGAAGUGGGCGGAAUAAGACAAGUAGCGGUGAAAUGCAUAGAUAUGUCUUAGAACUCCGAUUGCGAAGGCAGCUCACUAAGCUGGUAUUGACGCUGAUGCACGAAAGCGUGGGGAUCGAACAGGAUUAGAUACCCUGGUAGUCCACGCCCUAAACGAUGAUAACUCGAUGUUGGCGAUAGACAGCCAGCGUCCAAGCGAAAGCGUUAAGUUAUCCACCUGGGGAGUACGCCCGCAAGGGUGAAACUCAAAGGAAUUGACGGGGGCCCGCACAAGCGGUGGAUUAUGUGGUUUAAUUCGAUGAUACGCGAGGAACCUUACCAAGGCUUAAAUGGGAAAUGACAGGUUUAGAAAUAGACUUUUCUUCGGACAUUUUUCAAGGUGC
Molecule: ribosomal RNA, 509 nt
Filed under: bacterium symbiont of Megymenum gracilicorne
Lineage: Bacteria
Description: bacterial SSU rRNA
Rfam family: Bacterial small subunit ribosomal RNA
Source: RNAcentral